GAAAUAUAAACAUAGUAUUGUUAUAACAUAUGCCAAGACGUUAUACAAUGUAUAUUCGUCUAUACUCAUCAUUCAAACAAAACCGUUAUCAGCCCCUUCAUUCCUUCAAUUAAAAAAACCUGGUUACGCCACUGAUCAAAAGUGAAGGUAUUAAUUUGUAUAAUUUGUGUAAAUAUAUUCAUCGAGUAAAAAAUAUUUUUAUCUGCAAAACGUAAGUAAGUAUUCGGAGGGUCCCAUGAGAAUGUAUACACUUCAAUUAUCGAAAACAAAAUAUAUAUACA
Non-coding RNA from Cinara cedri, 281 nucleotides. NCBI's taxonomy places the organism in Eukaryota, Metazoa, Arthropoda, Insecta, Hemiptera, Aphididae. The record is from the annotation of a GenBank genome assembly.